UACAGAGGUCCCAAGCGUUGUUCGGAUUCACUGGGCGUAAAGGGUGCGUAGGUGGCGAGGUAAGUCGGAUGUGAAAGCUCGGAGCUCAACUCCGAAAUGGCAUUGGAAACUACCUUGCUCGAGGGUCGGAGGGGGGACUGGAAUACUUGGUGUAGCAGUGAAAUGCGUAGAUAUCGGGAGGAACACCCGUAGCGAAGGCGGUACUCUGGGCCGAAACUGACGCUGAGGAGCGAAAGCGUGGGGAGCGAACAGG
Molecule: ribosomal RNA, 253 nt
Filed under: uncultured bacterium
Lineage: Bacteria
Description: partial 16S ribosomal RNA
Rfam family: Bacterial small subunit ribosomal RNA
Source: RNAcentral